ACCCAACAGGUAAAAAGAGCUUUUGUUUCCUCUCAUUGAGAUAGAAGUUGGCAAAAGAGGGAUUUUUGUCGUUUGUGGAUCACUUGGAUAAACACAUCAAUGUAGGUAUAUAAAGUAUUCGAUAGUUAUAGUAAAUUAAUACACAACAUGUACAAGAAGAAAUUGAUUCUUAAUUGUAAAACGCUUGCACAAGUAGCUGUAUAAAAUCCAAAUAAUCUUUACACAAUUUCCAAUAAAAUAAAGAUCAUCAAUUAA
This 255-nucleotide ribosomal RNA is filed under the name Triticum aestivum (bread wheat). Its description in RNAcentral is "partial small subunit ribosomal RNA". Lineage: Eukaryota; Viridiplantae; Streptophyta; Magnoliopsida; Poales; Poaceae. The record is from RNAcentral.